AAACCGUUGAAAGGGAAGCGAAUGGAGUUAGCAAUUCGCCCUGCCAGAUUCAGUUGCUCGUGCGCCGCGACGUGCGCGCUCUCGAUCCGCAUGGACGAGACGCGUGCGGGCGCGGCGCUCGGACGGCGCACUUCUGGCGGGCGAGCGUCAGCGUCGGUUGUCGACGGGCGAUAAGGACGCGAGGAAGGUGGAACGGCCCUCGGGCGGUUUGUUACAGCCUCGCGAUCGCAUAGCCCGACGGCGACCGUGGCUCCUGUGGAGGCGACGCGUGCCUAGCUGGCGACUCUGGCGAUCGGUCUGGCAUGUCGAUUGUGGCGGACGGCACGCCUGUGCGCUCGAACUGCUGCCGGUCGACCGUUGGAUGUUCGCACACUACGCGUCGAAGAUGCUGACGACCAUACGGCUCCAUCCGACCCGUCUUGAAACACGGACCAAGGAGUCUAACAUGUGCGCGAGUCUCCGGGUGAUCGAAACCCGUGGGCGCAAUGAAAGUAAAGAUCGUCCUAGACGAUUGAGGUGAGAAGCGAGUGCCUGUGUGCACGAGCCGCAUCAUCGACCGACCUAUUCUGCUCUCAGAGAGGUUUGAGUAAGAGCGUAUCUGUUGGGACCCGAAAGAUGGUGAACUAUGCCUGAAUAGGGUGAAGCCAGCGGAAACACUGGUGGAAGCUCGUAGCGAUUCUGACGUGCAAAUCGAUCGUCGAAUUUGGGUAUAGCGGCGAAAGACUAAUCGAACCAUCUAGUAGCUGGUUCCCUCCGAAGUUUCCCUCAGGAUAGCUGGAGUUCAUGUUGAUUGCAGU
This 797-nucleotide ribosomal RNA is filed under the name Alcyonium coralloides. RNAcentral's name for it is "eukaryotic LSU rRNA". It matches the Rfam family "Eukaryotic large subunit ribosomal RNA", at positions 402 to 1004 of the family's 3401-position model. The record is from RNAcentral. Lineage: Eukaryota; Metazoa; Cnidaria; Anthozoa; Malacalcyonacea; Alcyoniidae.